Molecule: ribosomal RNA, 332 nt
Filed under: uncultured eukaryote
Lineage: Eukaryota
Description: partial 18S ribosomal RNA
Rfam family: Eukaryotic small subunit ribosomal RNA
Source: RNAcentral
CCCUUAGAUGUUCUGGGCUGCGCGCGCGCUACACUGUCGGAUUCAGCGAGUCAUAUCCUUAACCGAAAGGUUUGGGUAAUCUUUUGAAAGUCCGACGUGAUGGGGAUUGAUCAUUGCAAUUAUUGAUCAUGAACGAGGAAUUCCUAGUAAGCGCGAGUCAUCAGCUCGCGUUGAUUACGUCCCUGCCCUUUGUACACACCGCCCGUCGCUACUACCGAUUGAAUGGUUUAGUGAGAUCUUCGGAUUGGCGCCUACGCGGCUUCUCUGAGGCCACGCUGGAUGCCGAAAAGUUGCUCAAACUGUAUCAUUUAGAGGAAGUAAAAGUCGUAACA